UACGUAGGGCGCAAGCGUUAUCCGGAAUUAUUGGGCGUAAAGAGCUCGUAGGCGGUUUGUCGCGUCUGCCGUGAAAGUCCGGGGCUCAACUCCGGAUCUGCGGUGGGUACGGGCAGACUAGAGUGAUGUAGGGGAGACUGGAAUUCCUGGUGUAGCGGUGAAAUGCGCAGAUAUCAGGAAGAACACCCGUGGCGAAGGCGGCUCUCUGGGACGGUACUGACGGCUGAGACGCGAAAGCGUGGGGAGCGAACAGG
This 254-nucleotide ribosomal RNA is filed under the name uncultured bacterium. RNAcentral describes it as "partial 16S ribosomal RNA". It matches the Rfam family "Bacterial small subunit ribosomal RNA", at positions 524 to 776 of the family's 1533-position model. The record is from RNAcentral.